RNA transcript from Sesamum indicum (sesame), 1864 nucleotides. It is a transcript of the gene named protein EFFECTOR OF TRANSCRIPTION 2, with no coding region annotated. NCBI's taxonomy places the organism in Eukaryota, Viridiplantae, Streptophyta, Magnoliopsida, Lamiales, Pedaliaceae. The record is from RefSeq and is a predicted model, not a curated record.
ACUUAUGAGUCUAACAGGAACGGGCCGAAAGCAACGGUCAGCUCACGCGAUACGGUGGUGCGCACAAUGGGAGUGCCCACCAGCUCCGCCACCUCAACCACCGCCGCGAGGCUGAAGAGAGAGGAUUUCAGGCGCACCAAGCACGACUCUGCUUUCUCGCAAUGGAAGAUUCUAAUAGGAGCCCACGAUUGGCAAGAUCAUUCAAUGGGAAAAGAAGGAGCGGAAAAGUACAGGACGCAGAACCUCCCAAAUUGGAUUUCUUGCCCAGGAGUGUAUGAGCUUGGGAUAGCUACUUCACGCCCACGAUCUGGGAGAGAGGCCCGCAAGCUUGAGUCAAGCUCUGUAGUUCCUGUUUAUCUUGGACAAGCUGACAAUCUUAGGACUAGACUACAGCAGUAUGGCCGUGAUGGUGCACAUUUAGAGAAUGGAUGUUCGAACAACAAGCUUAGGAACUUUCAAGGUGUUUCUUCCAGUAAGGAGCCUGGAUUAUUCAUAGACGUAUUCUCAAGAGGAUUGCCAAUUGUUUAUAGAUGUGCUCCUAUGAAAAGUAAGAAGGAUGCUGAGAUAACUGAGAAGCAGCUACUUGACAAAUUUGAUUACGCGUGGAACAAAGGCAGUAAUGGUGGACGCCGUCAUGAUGAUAUCUGCAGAAAACUUGACAGUCUUGCAAAAUCAUCGCAGUUUUCUUAUCUAGCAAAGAAGCUUCUUUCUUUCAACCAGAAGAAAGUGGGCAUUAAGAUCAGAACCUAUGAGCCAUGUGUGUCAAAGGAUGGAUCCAAUUUAAGCAAUAUGGAUAACAAUGUGACUAUCUCCAGGAUAUUUGGAAUUAAGAGGUUGCAGCCUACAAAGCUGCAAUAUGGUUCUGAUGAUAAUUGCAGUGAUAUUUGUGGAGUUGCCGUGUGUCAUGGUUCUGUUUGUACUACACCACCUGUAAAGGGUAGGAAACGAUGUGCCAUACACAAGGGAAUGAGAGUUAAUGGCUAUAUUUCGAAGUUGAAUGCAGAAGGAAAAGGGCCUUCUGUUGCUGUAAACGUGGGAUCCAGUAUAAGACCCAACCGACUCUCUGCUGAUCUUCAAGAUCCGAGAUUAACUCACAGCAGAGAGAUUCCUAAUAACGAAAUAUUUGCUCCAAUUUGUGGAUUUAUCUUGGAUGAUGGCUCUCCUUGUAAAAUGAAGCCUCUUCAAAGAAAUAAAAGGUGUUUGGAGCAUAAAGGAAGAAGGAUCCGUGUGUGCCAACCAAAAAAGUUUGUAACAGAAGGAUAGAACAACGUCAUGCAUGCUCAGUCCUCCAAUACAAGACUUUGUAUAAUGAUGGAGAUCAAUACAAAUACUUAAUCUCAAGCUUUGGCAGGGAGCUGUAAUUUAAGCUAGAUUAACCAUAUGUACGUGGAGUCAGUUGAAGGAUGGAGAACAUUGUACAAGACGAGCUGCUUCCAGAACAAAAGAAGGUUCAACUUUUAUAGAGGUGUGAAGUUAAAAGGUCCAACUUUGACAUCACUUGCAGCAGAACUGCCUGCCCUGUGUGUUCGCUGAUGCUGAUUGCAAAACAAACAUGUACCAGAAGAUGAAAGAAAGCAAUAAGCAUAUAGCGGCACAAAGAAUGUUGCACUCGUCCAUUAGAUAAUCGAACACCGUUACAGGUACAUUUCAACCUUAUUUGUGGUGGAGCAGUCAAGCUGCUCAUGACAAACUUAAGCCCCGGUGCCAACAAAGCUUUACAGAUCUGGUAAGAGAAUUUGAAUAUUUGCUUGUACCAUUACAAUACUCUACAUGCACUUCCAAAAUUCAGCCAAGUAUCAUGUACAUGAGUUGCUUUUCAUAUUUACCUAAUAUCAACUCCAUAUAUAAAGCCUCUUUCUAAUAA